GAUGAACGCUGGCGGUAUGCUUUACACAUGCAAGUCGUACGAGAGUUUUUAAUUCAAGUGGCGGACGGGUGAGUAACACGUAAGAAUUUACCUUUAGGAGGGGGAUAACCACUGGAAACGGUUGCUAAUACCCCAUAUGCUUUCGAGUAAAAUGGAUUUUCCGCCUAAAGAAAAGCUUGCGGCUGAUUAGCUUGUUGGUGAGGUAAUGGCUCACCAAGGCGACGAUCAGUAUCUGGUUUGAGAGGAUGAUCAGACACACUGGAACUGAGACACGGUCCAGACUCCUACGGGAGGCAGCAGUGGGGAAUUUUCCGCAAUGGGCGAAAGCCUGACGGAGCAAUACCGCGUGAAGGAUGACUGCCUAUGGGUUGUAAACUUCUUUUUUCAGGGAGGAAUAAAUGACGUGUACCUGAAGAAUAAGCAUCGGCUAACUCCGUGCCAGCAGCCGCGGUAAGACGGAGGAUGCAAGUGUUAUCCGGAAUCACUGGGCGUAAAGCGUCUGUAGGUGGUUUAAUAAGUCAACUGUUAAAUCUUGAGGCUCAACUUCAAAACCGCAGUCGAAACUAUUAGACUAGAGUAUAGUAGGGGUAAAGGGAAUUUCCAGUGGAGCGGUGAAAUGCGUAGAUAUUGGAAAGAACACCGAUGGCGAAGCACUUUACUGGGCUAUUACUGACACUGAGAGACGAAAGCUAGGGU
This 696-nucleotide ribosomal RNA is filed under the name uncultured bacterium. RNAcentral describes it as "bacterial SSU rRNA". It matches the Rfam family "Bacterial small subunit ribosomal RNA", at positions 28 to 766 of the family's 1533-position model. The record is from RNAcentral.